This 254-nucleotide ribosomal RNA is filed under the name uncultured prokaryote. RNAcentral's name for it is "partial 16S ribosomal RNA". It matches the Rfam family "Bacterial small subunit ribosomal RNA", at positions 524 to 776 of the family's 1533-position model. The record is from RNAcentral.
GACGAACCGUGCGAACGUUAUUCGGAAUCACUGGGCUUAAAGCGCGUGUAGGCGGGGCGGCACGUCGGUCGCUGAAAUCCCCCGGCUCAACCGGGGAACGGGCGCCGAUACGACCGCCCUCGAGGGACGUAGGGGGACCUGGAACUUCCGGUGGAGCGGUGAAAUGCGUUGAGAUCGGAAGGAACGCCCGUGGCGAAAGCGAGGUCCUGGACGUCUUCUGACGCUGAGACGUGAAAGCCAGGGGAGCGAACGGG